This 1380-nucleotide ribosomal RNA is filed under the name Bacillus safensis. RNAcentral's name for it is "bacterial SSU rRNA". It matches the Rfam family "Bacterial small subunit ribosomal RNA", at positions 59 to 1422 of the family's 1533-position model. Lineage: Bacteria; Bacillati; Bacillota; Bacilli; Caryophanales; Bacillaceae. The record is from RNAcentral.
AAGUCGAGCGGACAGAAGGGAGCUUGCUCCCGGAUGUUAGCGGCGGCACGGGUGAGUAACACGUGGGUAACCUGCCUGUAAGACUGGGAUAACUCCGGGAAACCGGAGCUAAUACCGGAUAGUUCCUUGAACCGCAUGGUUCAAGGAUGAAAGACGGUUUCGGCUGUCACUUACAGAUGGACCCGCGGCGCAUUAGCUAGUUGGUGGGGUAAUGGCUCACCAAGGCGACGAUGCGUAGCCGACCUGAGAGGGUGAUCGGCCACACUGGGACUGAGACACGGCCCAGACUCCUACGGGAGGCAGCAGUAGGGAAUCUUCCGCAAUGGACGAAAGUCUGACGGAGCAACGCCGCGUGAGUGAUGAAGGUUUUCGGAUCGUAAAGCUCUGUUGUUAGGGAAGAACAAGUGCGAGAGUAACUGCUCGCACCUUGACGGUACCUAACCAGAAAGCCACGGCUAACUACGUGCCAGCAGCCGCGGUAAUACGUAGGUGGCAAGCGUUGUCCGGAAUUAUUGGGCGUAAAGGGCUCGCAGGCGGUUUCUUAAGUCUGAUGUGAAAGCCCCCGGCUCAACCGGGGAGGGUCAUUGGAAACUGGGAAACUUGAGUGCAGAAGAGGAGAGUGGAAUUCCACGUGUAGCGGUGAAAUGCGUAGAGAUGUGGAGGAACACCAGUGGCGAAGGCGACUCUCUGGUCUGUAACUGACGCUGAGGAGCGAAAGCGUGGGGAGCGAACAGGAUUAGAUACCCUGGUAGUCCACGCCGUAAACGAUGAGUGCUAAGUGUUAGGGGGUUUCCGCCCCUUAGUGCUGCAGCUAACGCAUUAAGCACUCCGCCUGGGGAGUACGGUCGCAAGACUGAAACUCAAAGGAAUUGACGGGGGCCCGCACAAGCGGUGGAGCAUGUGGUUUAAUUCGAAGCAACGCGAAGAACCUUACCAGGUCUUGACAUCCUCUGACAACCCUAGAGAUAGGGCUUUCCCUUCGGGGACAGAGUGACAGGUGGUGCAUGGUUGUCGUCAGCUCGUGUCGUGAGAUGUUGGGUUAAGUCCCGCAACGAGCGCAACCCUUGAUCUUAGUUGCCAGCAUUCAGUUGGGCACUCUAAGGUGACUGCCGGUGACAAACCGGAGGAAGGUGGGGAUGACGUCAAAUCAUCAUGCCCCUUAUGACCUGGGCUACACACGUGCUACAAUGGACAGAACAAAGGGCUGCAAGACCGCAAGGUUUAGCCAAUCCCAUAAAUCUGUUCUCAGUUCGGAUCGCAGUCUGCAACUCGACUGCGUGAAGCUGGAAUCGCUAGUAAUCGCGGAUCAGCAUGCCGCGGUGAAUACGUUCCCGGGCCUUGUACACACCGCCCGUCACACCACGAGAGUUUGCAACACCC